CUUCUCCCUCUUUGUUCUUUUGCUUUUCGCCUCUGUUUCUGGCCCAUCCUUACUCUCCCUCUCAGGUCCUUCACCCCCCUCUUCCUCUGCACUCUCCUCGCCUCUUCUCCCUUUCCGCUGCAUCUCUUCUCCCGAUUGCUGGCUCCAUCGCCACCUCUCUUAGCUUCUCACCCUCAGCUAGCUCUCCGCCCCGACUCCUUCCCCAGCGUCGCAGCACCGCAGCCUCCUCCUCCGUCCACCCCCUUUCUGCUAGCACGUGCCCUUCGGUCUCCUGGGUCGUCCUCCAGCUGCAAACACCAAGAUAAUGCUGUUAACUUCCAGAGGCUUGUGAGAAAAUGAGACAACGCAGAAAGAUGACUUAAAUAAAAUGACAACUUUCCACAUAGUAAGCUUUCAUUUAACGGAAUUUAACUUACUAGUUUUCUUUAGCCAGCGAUUUCUGGCAUAACAACUUUCGUGGGAUUCCCCAACUCAGUAAUUUCUUGACUCCCUUGGUAGUCUUGUUUCGUUAAUUGUAAGCUGACUCAAAAAGCUAUUUUGGGAGCUGCAGGUAUAGGUCAGUGGUAGAACAGUUACCCAGCAUGCACAGGGUCCCAAGUUCAAUCCCCAGCGCCACACACACACACAAAAAAUUGUUUUGAGGCAGUG
This 648-nucleotide long non-coding RNA is filed under the name Fukomys damarensis (Damara mole-rat). Its description in RNAcentral is "lncRNA (ENSFDAG00000032871.1)". The record is from RNAcentral. Lineage: Eukaryota; Metazoa; Chordata; Mammalia; Rodentia; Bathyergidae.